This 354-nucleotide long non-coding RNA is filed under the name Androctonus crassicauda. Lineage: Eukaryota; Metazoa; Arthropoda; Arachnida; Scorpiones; Buthidae. The record is from RNAcentral.
UCUUAAUAGACUGCAGUAAAACUUUUAACAGCUAUAAAUUUACCCUGGGAGAAAGCUCAUAAAUCAAAAUAAACAAAGUAAUGAUACAGAAUCUUGUUUUUCCAUGAAAUUAUACUGGAAAAAAUGGACUAGAUUUCUACUCAUGCAUUAUCUAAGAGUUAUGUGCUUAUUAUUUAAUAUAGUUAUAAGUUGGCCAGAUGGCUGUGUGAAAAACAGUCAUUUAUUAAUCUUGGAGGAUCAAGAUUCAAUUCAGAGUCCUGCAUCUCAAAUUUUUCAAGGGAUAUGGGUUCAGGCUGGUUCAUUAACUAAAAUUAACCCAAUAAGUGAAUAAAAUACACGUAAAUAUGAUAAGAG